RNAcentral lists this ribosomal RNA (254 nucleotides) under uncultured bacterium. Its description in RNAcentral is "partial 16S ribosomal RNA". It matches the Rfam family "Bacterial small subunit ribosomal RNA", at positions 524 to 776 of the family's 1533-position model. The record is from RNAcentral.
UACGUAGGGUGCAAGCGUUAAUCGGAAUUACUGGGCGUAAAGCGUGCGCAGGCGGUUUUGUAAGUCUGUCGUGAAAUCCCCGGGCUCAACCUGGGAAUUGCGAUGGAGACUGCAAGGCUAGAAUCUGGCAGAGGGGGGUAGAAUUCCACGUGUAGCAGUGAAAUGCGUAGAGAUGUGGAGGAAUACCGAUGGCGAAGGCAGCCUCCUGGGCCAACACGUGACGCUCAUGCACGAAAGCGUGGGGAGCAAACAGG